This 9435-nucleotide long non-coding RNA is filed under the name Taeniopygia guttata (zebra finch). Its description in RNAcentral is "lncRNA (ENSTGUG00000024693.1)". The record is from RNAcentral. Lineage: Eukaryota; Metazoa; Chordata; Aves; Passeriformes; Estrildidae.
GCUAGACACUGCUGUUCUCCCCUCGGUACCUGUGUUGGGUCCCUUUCAUUGUUCACCCCAGAGUUUUUAAUGUACAGCUAACACUGCUUUCAGAGAGACUUUUUAUUUUCCUACAAUGUGACAGCAUGGAGUGAGACACACAGUAUACCUGGGCAUACUAUACACCAGCUCAUGGGGCUGUGGAUUCUCCAGUAGGACACUAGCACUUUGUAACAAAAUACAAGAUGCAUUCCUAUCUCUGCUGCAAAGUUCUGGUUUGUUUUGUUUUCUGAAAUAAAACCUGUAAGAUACAACAUCUACCUUCUAUCCAGUGUCAAAUUAUUUUUUGUGGAUUGUUCUUGGCACAGCACAGUAAGAAAUUGAGCUCUAAUACAGUUGUAUUUAAAAUACACUUGUAAUUUCAUCAAGGCUUUAUUGGUUGUUUUGUGAUUGGAGAAUCAUUAGAUGUUCAGCAGAAGUGCACUGGCCCACAGUGUCGCUGCUGCAAGCCCAGCUGAAAUUCCAGGUGAAAAUCCAGCCUAUAUGAAGUACAAAAUACAAAACAUAUAUUCCAUCUAGAGCAGCACUUCAGCUUAUUUGUCAGCUUGUGAAACAAAAGGAACUAAUUGAAAUAGACUCAAAAAUCAAGCCAGUUGAGUCAGAAUGACAUUGCAGAAUACUAAGAGAAGGCAAGUGUUGCCAUCAAACAACAUCCAAUUUAAGAAAACAAAAAGGGUGGGAAAGAGAAAACCUGAGAUCCUGGGAGGAGUCCUUUCAAUCCAAAAGAAGUUUUUGGAGUACAUAUUUGGAAUACAAGUCUCAUCUAUGGCCCAGCAAAGGUUUCCCAGUUAGAGCAGACCAUCAGGCUUCAAUCUGAGUAUCAAUUCCCUUCUUUCCAAGGGUGGGUUCCCUUUAUACCUGGGCAGGACCACUGAGUUAUUAAAACACUCUGCUGUUUUUAGGAUGUAAGGAGAAUUUUGAGUCAAUAGUUUAGGAUACUGAGUUUUGGUUUUGGUGUCCAAUAAUAAUGGCUUUUGUAGUGGCUUUGGAGUUCAUGUGUUUUGAAAAACCAAUGUCAUUGAUUCAGGCAGCCUGCAGCACGCCCUUGGCAUCAAUCAGUGAUGUCAUUUGAAGCAAAUUCACUGCACAUCUCUCUCUUGACAGACAGACAAUUCCCUGUUACAUUCUGAGAUGAUUUUGGGACUCCCAGCUGUGGUGUUUGCCAUGAAGCUGGGCUCUGGCAGGGAGAGGUUCUUUCACUACAAACCUCUCCACUUCAGGAUGGCAAAAAGUUUGUCAGUGCCUCAACAACUUUGUGUGGGAUCUGUGCUUUGCCUGCAGGUGCUUAGAUUUUUGUCAUACAAAGUGAAACAAACCCAGCUGGGAACCUGAUGGUGAAGUUGGACCUUCAUGAGCUUCCAGGUUUCAGUAGGCGGAACAGAGACUGACAGGUUGUGGCAACAAGGCUGUGCUUGCUUUUGUUUUGAAGAGCAGUGUUUUCUAACAGAAGGAAGGUGGCAGGGAAAUUACCAUCACAGCAGAUAGACAAUUCAUUGUCUUCAAGAGGUUCCAAUUUCCAGAGUGAGGUUUGCCAAGUGGUCUGAAAAAAAAAAAAAAAAAGCAGAAAUUGCAGUUCAAGUCUGUGGCUUGGAAUGGAUGCUGUGUUUUGCUUCAGUGACUGCAGCAAUAACUUUUCAGCUGGAAGGAAUGGGUGAGCUGCUUAAGGGGUGAUGCAGCUCUGAACUGCCCUGUUCACUCCCAGGUGACAGAUGGAUUUGGCACAUGUGGAAGUGUUGCUAGUGAGUGCUUCCCUGCAAGUGCAUCAUAAAUAAUAUCAAGUGCUCAUCAUUAUUUCAAUUAGUAAUUAAGAAAAUUCUUCUUGCUGUCUUAAGAAAAUACACCGUGCUUGGCUGCCAGUUGUACACUGGGAAGUAAUGGGGGGAAGCAUUUGCUGUGUGACUGUUUAAUCUUGGUACAUAAUUUUUUUCCAAACAUCUUUGCUGGUAAUUGUUUAUAGUGCACCACAUUUAGGACAUAGUUAAUUGAGCUCUGGGAUCUUUCAAAGUGAAGGUAACUACUUAUUUCUCAUGCAGAAAUCCAUGCCAGCAAGAAAAUCACUUAGGGAUGAAGGGUUGCAUUUUUUAAUUAACUAAUUUAUGAGGAUAUUGCUCAUUAUAUGUUUCAUGGGUGAGAAUCUUGAAAACACCAUAAUACAAAAGAGUCAAUAUAGAAACAGUAGCUUCAUAUUCAUGGGUUCUGUUAAUCUACAACUAAUUUAAAUAACCUAGACAGAAAAAUAGGCAUUUCCUGUUCCACAUCAACACGGUGGUUCUCUAGUUGAAGGCCAAGGGUUGCCAGCAACGAUUUAAAAGCCUCUUUAAUGAUGAGAUAAAAAUGUAUUCUUAAAUAGAAAUUUCUGAGCUUUUAGACCACUCAGAAAAUACUCAGUGUGCUUUGCAAGAUGAGUAAUUUUUUAGUACUUUUGAUAGAUAAAACCACAAACAAAUCUCAGCCACUGGAAAUCCAUUUCCAUCAAGAUACAAGGGACAUAAACAGCAUAAAAGCUGUUUAAAAAAAUAACUGGUUGGGUUUUUUGUCCCACUAAAAAUGCUUUAUAUUUGGUAGAGACAGAUCUCUUCCCUGGAUGGUUUUCUUUAUGUUGUUGCAAGAAGUUGGGAACACCAAGCUUCACUUGCAAAUCUUUCACCUUUCUUUUCAAUUAUCUUGCCUUUCUCUUUUUUUGAGAGGCUGAACACUUGGUUGACAUCAAUAGCAAAGCAUGCCACAGAUUUUCAGUGGGAUGGACAGUAUCCCACACCUUCCCAAGCUACUGAUAACUCUGAAAAACCUGCAGUGUUUUUUUUAAUUAGUAUUUUAACAACAGUUUUCCUGAGCUAUGGCUGAGUGCCAAACACAGCUUCUGCAAAAAGACAGGCACAGGGGGUGGGGUCCUGCUGGGAAGUGGAUAGAGCAGCAAAUCUGGGCUCCACGGGCCUUUCUUGCACCCCAGCUCUCUGUAGGAAAGCCCACCGGUGCCAGACUGGUUUUUGAAACCUGAUAAAUUAUUUCCUCCUCCUAACAGUUUAUUUUGUGAAUAGAUUCACAGUGUAUGGGAAGGUGGCCUGGUUCAUUUUUUAGUGCAUGGCUUAAACUCACUUUUUUUUUUUUUUUUUAAGCCAAACCAAACCCCAUUCACUCAUAUUAGACCUAAAACAUUCACAAGAGCUCAUGCUAAGCCUUAACUUGCAAAAUAAAACUCAACACAUUUCUAAAUUUCUUUAUUAUCUUAUUCUUAAUUUCUUCCUUUAUUCUGUCUUAGGAAAAGACAACCCCCAGACAAUUACACUUAUUUUUUUCUCCAUAAUUACGGAAGAAAUCAUCAAACAAACCUAAUAGUGGCUUUUGCAGUUACCUUGCUGAUCCAGCCUUGCCUAAGCAGUGUGGGCAGGCUGUGGGGUCAGACAUGCAGCAUUAUGGCUUUUCCCUGCAUCCACAGGGAUGGGACAAGGGAUGCAGGUGCUGCAGGCAGCUGCAGCUCCAGUUGCACCUGUGGGAUUCACACAGCCCAGGGCUCUUGGGCUGCACAUCUUGUCAGUUUGUAAAAUACCAUUUUAAUUUCUGUCUCUCUCACCUGCUGGUGUUGGAAAGCUGCUGUAGGCACUUUGCACAGCAGGGGUUGUGUUGGGACAGUUCCCUGCAGGUUUGUUACAGGCAGAGAUUGGCACUGGAAGCACCUGACACUUGCUGUUGUAAACUUCAUCCAUCUCCUUGAAAUACUGUUGUGAUGGUGGUUGUCUCAAGGCUCUGUGCACAUGGAGUAAUUGCUGGUGUAAAGACUUUUUUAUCCUCUCGUUAUUGUUACUGAGCACUGCUUUCAUCCAGAAACAUGAAUUGGGGAAGGAUGCCACAGACUUUCACCACUGAAUCUGUCCCUAGAUGGUUUCUUUUCACCCAUGUGAAAUUUAUAAAUAGGGGUGGGGGAUGCAGACAAGCCUAUAAAGAAAGACCUCCAUAAAUCAAAUUCUGCAUUUUCUAAGUUGCUCAAGGAAUGAUUUACUGCAGAAAUGGUGAACAGAUGGAUUCCCACUGCCAUCCAUAGAUGAGUGUGGCAGACCAGUGUGGCUGCUGCUGUUUGUUCCCUUCCUUUCCCUCCUUUGGCUGCUGUUAUGUUGCUGCAUUGGGCAAUCAUGUUAUGUGAAAUGCAGUGUUGCACAUCAUCAUCACAGCAGUGUUGGUAUUUCCUAAAGGUCUUUGUCAUGAUGUUUGUCAGUGCCUGUUUUAAAAUGGCCCAGGCUCCUAGCUUGACCUUUAUAGUUUCUUUUUUUUUUUUUUUUUUUACAAGACACAGUUAUGUUUCAUGCAAGCCACAUAAUUCUUUGGGCUACUUGUAGUAGAUUUAGAAAGCAGAUGCUCCUUGAAUGCCCAACACAUGCAAUCCAUGGGCAAGAGCUAGUGAAGGGUGUUUAAAAGAGGCAGUGGUUCUUGUCACUGUGGGGUUUUCUUGUUCAUUAUCAACUUAGUCAGAAGAUAGGUCAGCAUUUUUCAAGGUGGAAAAAGGCUGAAGGAGGAUGGGCUGUGGCAGGAUGAGAUCUUGGCAGUAUUUACUUGGUGCAGAGUCACAGGGCCAAAAGGGACUUGGAGACAUCAGCUAGACAUUUUCCAAGGCAGGUUAAGCUUGGAAUGGGUGGAUGUGUGAGUGUUGAACUUGUCCUUAAAAGCCUCUAAUAGUGGAGAAUCAACCAUUUCCCAUGCUGUUUUUUCCAUGCUGUGUUUGACUGUCUUUUUGAGGAUGGUUUAUUCCCCCAGUGCCUAAGUACAAAAUUUUAGGGUAUAGGAGAAAAAGACAGUGACCUCAAAUGACAUUAGACAGAGGAGCAUUUCAGCUGUUUUUAUAAAUGCAACCUAAGAAAUAAUGGUCAGAUAAAAUCUGAGACAAGAUUUUCAAGGAGCCCCAGCCCAAAUUUGCUCACCACAGGACUCCUCCAUGCCUUUAAAAACCUCUUUCUUUGAAUGGUGUGUCAGGUUGAUGGUUAAUAGCCAUAUCAGAAAGGUUCAAAGAGACCUUUCUCCUCAUGCUGUGUUUUCUAUCCAGUAGAUGCCUUCUUUUUUUUUUUUUUUUUACAGAGUUCAGACAGUGAAAAAACAGCCAAACCAAAAAAUCCCUAGCCCCAAACUGACCCAGCUUGCUAGCCUUUUUCCUUGGUACCCUUUUAAGGCCAUCAAUAAAGCCAUAUUACGAGGAGGAAACCAAAGGAGAACAUAAUCCAUUUAUUUAGGCUUGUGCCAGCACAGCAAGAGGCUGGAGAGGCAGCAGGGGCCAGAGCCUGCCCUUGGCCUACAGCUGUCCUCUCCUGCUUCCUUUUGCCUUGGAAACAGCCUGACUAUCCUCUGCUGGGAUGCUGCUGGCACAGCAUCACCUGUGCUGGCAGCAAGGUCCCUGCCUGGGGUGGGAUGCAGCCUCUCCCUGGAAGAUGUGGGGAAAGCUGCAGUGGGAAAAGUGCAGUGGGAAAAGUGCAGUGCUGUGGGCAGUGCAGGCACCAGGACAUGCCCAGGUCUCUGCUUUGGGACAGGGACCCAUGGCUGUGCCUGCAAUUCUCUCUCCAGCUCCAAACCAGGACUAGUGGAAUAAUUUUGAAGCAGGACACUAAUGGAGUGUGUUACAAGAGCUGUGCACUCCCCUGUUUGUUACCUGUGCACCAGUUCAGUGAGGAGUCUCUGGGUGUCACACCAUGCUGAGAAUCCAUUGCUGGGGAAGCAAAGGGGACAGCACAUCCCUCAAGCUGGGCAGUGCUUCCUUUUCUGCCUGUUGUGGUUGAUCAGGAGGCUCUCAGGCUGGACUCAGGGCUUUGUCACGCUCAGCAGAAGCAGCAGGCUUGCAGGAAUGGGUCAGUAAAUCUCUUAGACCCUACAGGCACCAGGCAGAGAUCACCCCAGCCAUGCUGGCAUGUGCUGGGACCCUGCCCCAGACCCUGCAGCCCUGCUCUGCUGUGUGCCCACACCAAGCUGUGUGUGGGGAGGUGAUGGCAAAGCCCCCCAGCCCCCGUGGCAGCCGGCAGGUGCCUCCUGCAGGGCACAGCAGCCCUUUGUAGCCCCACACUGCCAUGGUCAGGGCCCCAGCCAUGCCCAGGGCUGCCAAGGCUGUGAGCACCAGCCCUGCAGAGCCCUGGCUGCAUGGCCAGGCAGGACACAAAGAGAGGCUUCCUAUAGAUCCUGCUCCAGGUGACAUCUGGCCUCAUUUAUGGACUUGGAUGGAUGGGGCACCCAGGUCUGUUCAGUCCCAGUAGGAGCCUUUGAUGAAAUCCCUGUACUGACCAAAGACUGACUCUGAAGGGCAGGAUCUCCACAGACAACCUCCUGCACAAGUUGGCGUCCUCCAAGCGUUGAGAGAGAAAAUAUUUAAUGGCUUAAAAAGGAAAAAGAGGCAAUGGAGCAGUUUAGAAAAUGCAAUUUCCUCAACAACUUUGUGAUUUGAAGAACUGGCGCUAUAAAAGGGGAAACCAAAUUUGUGGGAAGGAUGAAAUUAUUUUCCCCAAGCCCAAUAAUCACCCUGGCUUAAGCUAGGAGUUUUUGCUCCACAAACUGCCCCUGUUUUUGCUCCUGUUGUCACAAACUGUGAAACUAUGGUGCAUGCCUAUCAGGCUACACUGCAGUUGCAAAUUAACCAGUGUGUUCAGUAGUCCUCCUUUCACCAUCAAUGUAGUCUUCAGUGAUGCCUGGGGAAGGAAGAGGGUUUUCCUUCAUGUUUCACAGUGUUUCUCCUACUCUCAUAGACUCUUAAUCCUUCAUGGUUUUCUCAGUGCUGCUCAGCCCUGGGAACUCUACCUGGAAUAAGCAAAACAAGUUACAGUGGAGACAAAAGUGACAAAAAAUCAUUGAACUUUACAGCAGAUAACCCAGGGUAUGACUUCCAAAUUAUACCCGGUUACUCAGCAGUCAAAAACACAAGAGCAGCCAGUACAGAUGAAUAUUCACCUGAUUUUACAGUGUAAUUGCUUCUCACUUAAAAUUUGACCUUUUUUUUUCCUUUCCUCCCAGCAUAACCACGUGCUUCCUGCAUUUCCCUACUCUUCAGUAUCAGCAUGUGCUUUGAGUCCUGUAGAGUUGGAGAGGAAUUACUAACAGAACUGAAAAAUAACUCUGAUCCUCUUACCUUUGCAUGCACAAAAUUCUUAGCAAAAUACAAGAAAAAAAAAAAAGGCAUUUCUCUUGUGUUGUGCUUGCACAGUGUCAAUGGCAAAGCAAAGUCUAAGGGCAUAAAUAAGGUGAAAUGUUGCUCUGUGGUGAUGCAGAGACUGAAGGGACUGGGUUUUAAGCAGUGUCCCUCCACAUUGGCUUUUCUGAUAAAGGCAGAAGAAUUUGUAUCAUGCACCAAAAAGCUCAGCUUCCAGCUUUGUGUGCCCCUCUUCUUGUGGUACUUUCCACCUGUUCCCUGUGGGUACCUGGAUGAGACAAAGGAUACCUGUGCUCAGGUAGCUUCUGAUUCAGAUUGCUUCUGGGUUCACUUGAAAUCCCAGUCAGGAACUUUCCGUCUUUACUGUUUUGUAAUCAAAGAUGCAGAGGCUGCAAUUCAGCCAGGAUGUGUUUGCUGGGCUGAGAGCUCUUGGGUACAGCCCAUCCUUCCUUCCCUCCCACUGCAAACACAUCAGGGCAUCCUUCUUUUAAAUACCUACUUUUAAGCUCCCCUAUCAAAAUGUCAGAAUUAUUAGGGAAAAGUGUUUAUUGCCACACUUUCCUUGAUACAUGUGCUGUAUCAUAGAUGGCUUCUGCUGAGUGUGUGCUGGGUGCUUUUGGCAGAUGUUCAGUUUGCACUGGAGGCUGUUUGUGCCUGGCUGGGGGUGCAGGGGAGCAGAGUGGUCACUUGUGCAGGUGGGAUGAUGCUAGGUGACACAGGUUUGGCAGGAAAGGCAGCAGGCUGUGGGGGAUACCCUCAACACUGCUGGGGUACCUGGGGCAGAGCAGCUGAUUCCCACUGAUUUGGGAAGAGGAUUCUAGAAACCCUGAGGCAGGGAGCAUGUUGGGUGACACCUGUGUGGGCUGAGAGCAGAGUGAUACCACCUACAAGAGGGGCUCAUGCCUCCAUCCCUGUUUUUAGGGGAUACAUUGGAGCCUGCCUGCACAUGCCUGCUCCCACUUUGCCUUUGGGAGGGCACCCCAAGACACCAACAGGGAGCAGACUGGAAAAGGGUGAUGCAAAAGGCACCCUGGGCUUUGCUGGGCCUUGGUGGUGCUCCCUGCAAAUGUCUCUCCCUUUCUCAUCCCCUGCUGCAGUUUGGGCUUGGCUCCUGGGCAGGCAGCACUCUGCUCCCUGCCUGCUGUGGGGAGCACGAGGCUCACAUGGACCAAAAUGUGUCAAAAGCAUUUCCUCAAAUAGUCAGUUUUAAUUUUAAUAAGUCGUGUUUAGUAGCCUUAAGGACACUGGCUGUGUGAGAGGAAAGGAUUAUUAUGUCUGAAAACAAAGGGCUGCUGAGAGCUGGUGUGGGGUGAGAGGCAUCACAUCUUCCUUAAGAGAGAGGAGCCCUUGCCAUGUGGUUGGAAAGCGUGGUGGGAUUGACAGGGGAAGCACUUGGACUGAGAAAUCUUCUUUUAGAUUAAGCAACAAAAUUCUGCAUGCACAUACAGACUAGAUCUUCAUACCGCGGCAGGCUUUGACAGUGUACUGCAGCAUUAUUGCUAUUUAUAAUCCACAAUUACUAACACUAUAAUCCAGUAAAUUUAGUGGUAGCAAUUACAGCAACAUAAAUAGCAAUCCAGAUGACUAAAGGCAUUGCUGUCAAUGCAGGUGGCAGCUACAGCAUUAGAAAAAGAAGUUGGAGGGAUGAUACCAGGACUCGAUAUGUGAGCUUGGGUCUGCUAGUCUUUUAUAUACCAUUUUUAAUAUACUUCCUGAAAUGAAGCUUCAGAAAGGUACACUGCCUCUUUAAAAUUAGUCUAGGAACUACAGGUAGUUCACAUUAUUUUUAAAAUAAUAAAUCUCUAUAUAUAUCUAUAUUAAAAUAUAUAUGUAUACAUAAGUUGGCUAGCCUACCUUGUGGAAAGGCUGCAGCUAAACUAAGUCUGAGCUAAUAUUGUAUUACCAUGGUCCUCUGGUUUGUAGAUAGCCCUUCCUUAUUAGAUGAGGUUCUGUUCUUGCUCCACAGAAGGUGCCUGUGUAUAUAACUCCUUUGUAUUGCUUUCUGCAGAGUCCCUUAUAUAUUUCUUACUACUAAUGCUGUGUAGAAAAGGAAACCCAGAGAUUUUACUACUGAUAAUUAACCAUAUAAUGGCCAUUAGCAAAAUAAAGAUUUAGUUGUUUGGGAAACAGAUUAUUUAUAUUGUGUAUGGUUUAUUGCCUGAUAACUUGUUUGGUGACUGGAUAUUCUUUUCCUUCUCCUAGUCCUUUUCUGCUUUUUCCAGCUAUGGUGUUUACUCCUCACUUUGAUUAUCUAGCAGGCAAUAAAGUAUAUUGUAUGUUUUGAA